This 22-nucleotide non-coding RNA is filed under the name Mus musculus (house mouse). The record is from RNAcentral. RNAcentral also lists the same sequence under 1 other name. Lineage: Eukaryota; Metazoa; Chordata; Mammalia; Rodentia; Muridae.
UGGAUUUAUUUACAGUUUGGAC